AUGCAGGAAGCUUCUAAGUGCAAGAUUGGGUCGUUGGGACAGCAGCAACAGCAUUGCUCACAUCUGAAAGCCCAAAUGUUGAGAGUAGUUAACACUUCACCACAAUCAGCUCUGACUAGAGAAAGAGAAAAACUAAGUACUUGGUGGCAGCAUCACAAUCCAGGAGCACCCCAGUCGGCACACAAUAGCGAAAGUAGAUCUUGCCCCACUGUUGGCUUUUCUUUGUUAAAAUUUUUAUCACCCAAACCCAUCAUUCAGUUUUCCUAUCUUUCUGGGCCCUAUUUCAGCUGUCACUAUGUAAGUAGGAGCCAAUUGCAAACCAUGCCCAAGGUCAAUUCUGCACUAAAAUUCCAGCAUUUAGCAUUUAUGGAUUUAGAAGACUAAAAGCUGAGAUAAAGAGAUGAAAAAUUAGCUUCACACUCAAAUCUCACAAUCAGCACAGUGUGUUAUGAAGUCCUCGGUAUACAACUUAUUUAAGAUCACCUUUUAAAGAAAUGUGUAAAUUUAAAGAAAAUAAGAAUAAUUG
Molecule: long non-coding RNA, 526 nt
Filed under: Callithrix jacchus (white-tufted-ear marmoset)
Lineage: Eukaryota; Metazoa; Chordata; Mammalia; Primates; Cebidae
Description: lncRNA (ENSCJAG00000058963.2)
Source: RNAcentral